CCACAGGUAGCUCAACUGGUAGAGUAUCCGAGUACUUCACGAGGAGGUUUACGGUUCGAACCCGUACCUGUGGA
Molecule: transfer RNA, 74 nt
Filed under: Advenella kashmirensis
Lineage: Bacteria; Pseudomonadati; Pseudomonadota; Betaproteobacteria; Burkholderiales; Alcaligenaceae
Also listed under: 3 other names
Description: tRNA-OTHER
Rfam family: tRNA
About the family: Transfer RNA (tRNA) molecules are approximately 80 nucleotides in length.
Source: RNAcentral